CUGGAGGGACUCCAUCCAGGCGGGAUCGGCGACACUAGGUGAGGGCGAGAAGGAGGCGACUUAGCAGGCGGGGCACAUGCUGCCGAAGGCAGGGGUCCCCUCGGACCAGGCGCUCGCCGCCCGCCUAGCGUCACUCCUCAGGGAAACCGUGGUAGCCAACAAGCUUGGGGCUGCUGGAGUUUCCAAAGACCUCUGGAUCCUGUAGUCCUCCACGCUAGCUUCCAAAGAGCGCUGCUGACCCGGCUCGCUCCCGGGUGCAAGACCUCAACAGUUAGGAGCAAAACCCUCCGUGAAAGAGAGUUCCCAGGUUCUGGAGAACAGAAGACUGAAGUUAUACCUCCACUUCUGCAAGAGGCCUGGAGGGAAAUUUGUUUGUUUGUGAGUUCACUAUUCCCGGCUUCUGAGGACACAGACCUGGGCAUG
Molecule: non-coding RNA, 423 nt
Organism: Leptonychotes weddellii (Weddell seal)
Lineage: Eukaryota; Metazoa; Chordata; Mammalia; Carnivora; Phocidae
Source: RefSeq, a predicted model, not a curated record